AGUGAACGCUGGCGGUAGGCCUAACACAUGCAAGUCGAACGGCAGCACAGUAAGAGCUUGCUCUUACGGGUGGCGAGUGGCGGACGGGUGAGGAAUACAUCGGAAUCUACUUUUUCGUGGGGGAUAACGUAGGGAAACUUACGCUAAUACCGCAUACGACCUACGGGUGAAAGCAGGGGAUCUUCGGACCUUGCGCGAUUGAAUGAGCCGAUGUCGGAUUAGCUAGUUGGCGGGGUAAAGGCCCACCAAGGCGACGAUCCGUAGCUGGUCUGAGAGGAUGAUCAGCCACACUGGAACUGAGACACGGUCCAGACUCCUACGGGAGGCAGCAGUGGGGAAUAUUGGACAAUGGGCACAAGCCUGAUCCAGCCAUACCGCGUGGGUGAAGAAGGCCUUCGGGUUGUAAAGCCCUUUUGUUUGGAAAGAAAAGCAGCAGGUUAAUACCCCGCUGUUCUGACGGUACCCAAAGAAUAAGCACCGGCUAACUUCGUG
Molecule: ribosomal RNA, 492 nt
Filed under: uncultured bacterium
Lineage: Bacteria
Description: partial 16S ribosomal RNA
Rfam family: Bacterial small subunit ribosomal RNA
Source: RNAcentral